This is a long non-coding RNA of Papaver somniferum (opium poppy), 799 nucleotides long. RefSeq lists it as uncharacterized. The record is from RefSeq and is a predicted model, not a curated record. The transcript is spliced from 4 exons. Lineage: Eukaryota; Viridiplantae; Streptophyta; Magnoliopsida; Ranunculales; Papaveraceae.
UCCAUUGAGUCCUUGAGUCGGUACGAAAUCCAAAAUCCCCAAAUUACUGGGAAGGAAAAACAAAUUAAAUUUCAACGACAGGACUGAGUAAAAGAGAUUUCAAAUCUUUCUUUCCGAUAAAGAAAAACAUUCUCAGCAAUUAUCUUGUCAUCCCUGGAAUGCAACAGAUUCUCUGCUGCUAUCUAAAUAGGAGAAUCAGCAGCCGAGCUUGACCAAAAACACUGAGCAGACUCGUCCGGCAAAGAUAGAGAAGAGAGUACCUGGUUCUCAGAACAGGGCUGAUGUAUUCUACACAAGGGCAAUUGACGAGGUAUAUACAUAUCCUGGUUGCAUCAUAUGCUUUACUUGAAAGAAUGUUCAUGCUGCCCAACUAUAAGUAUCAAAGGGGCAAUGACGAGCUUGACAUCUUUCAAUCAUCAAAACCAGCCGAUUUUGACUUGGGACAUCUCUAAUGUGAAAAUUGCACAAUGUUGAAUUGUACUUAGCUUGUAUGUAGGUGUCUAAUUUUGCUGCUCAAAGUCAAACCUCAUUUGUCUCAUUGACUUGUAUUCCUGCUCCCAGGUAAAUCUAAAAGGCCCUACUACUCCUUUUAUGUUCUUCAAACUUUGUUAGUAGUAUGUAUACUAUAGUAUGAAACAGAGAUAGGAAGUGUUUGGUUAUGCUUUAAGAAACUUAGAGUUAAUCCAGAGAGAGAAUAAGGAAACAGAGUAGUAAUGUUUGCAUUAAGUGUGAGAGAUGGAGGUGGAAAUAAAUUUAAUUUGUAUUUAUCACAUGACGUAAUACCCUCAUAAUUCUUCAA